Molecule: long non-coding RNA, 265 nt
Filed under: Lathyrus oleraceus (garden pea)
Lineage: Eukaryota; Viridiplantae; Streptophyta; Magnoliopsida; Fabales; Fabaceae
Description: Pisum sativum (pea) long non-coding RNA (PSAT_LNC011352)
Source: RNAcentral
AAAUAUUUAAGUUAAAAAAAUAAUAUGUAUAAAAAGCAUAUUUAAAAUUGAUUUCAAGUGCUAUAAAAAAUUAGUUAAUAUUGUUUCAGAUAAUUCUUAGUUUAUAAUAAAAUAAUUUUAUUAGGUAUUUUAAUCGUUUUGUUUUUAAAAAAUAUGUAUAAUAUUCCUAUUUUAAAAUCGACACCAUAAAUCCCCUAUUAAGUUUUAUUGAAUGUCGUAAUGAAAAUUAAAAUUAAUUAUAUAUGAAGGAAUAUAAGAAGAUUUC